Non-coding RNA from Leopardus geoffroyi (Geoffroy's cat), 2037 nucleotides. Lineage: Eukaryota; Metazoa; Chordata; Mammalia; Carnivora; Felidae. The record is from the annotation of a RefSeq genome assembly.
UUACAAAUGGUGAGGAGAAAAGCUAGCAAGAAGGUUAAUCGGAGCUUUCGAGCAACUGUAGCUACAGCCCCAAGAUGGCAGUGUUUUCAGUGGUCCUGCCUGUAGGUAUGACUGUGUUUGGGACGGGCAUGUGGUCUCUGAUUGGCUGAUCACACCCCCUGAGACUCCUUUUUUUAGCGUUAAAAAAUGUUGAAUAGACAGCCAGCUUUUGGGAGCAGCCCUGUGCAGAAGAAAGAUGGAGAAGCAUCUGAGGACCUCCUUGGUGGCUUUGUGGCUUCAUUUUUGUUGGGUGAGUGGCAAAAACCAAGUGGAACAGCACCCUCCAUCCCAGAUCAUCCAAGAGGGAGAGAACUGCACAUUUCAAUGCAACUAUACAGUGAGCCCCUUUAGCCAUUUAAAAUGGUACAAGCAGGGCACUGGGAGAAGUCCUGCUUUCCUGAUAAUCAUGACUGACGAUGACAGCAAAAACCCAAGUGGCAGGUACACAGUGACUCUGGAUGCAACCUCCAAGCACAGCUCCUUGCACGUCACAGCCGCCCAGCUCAGCGACUCAGCUGUCUACAUCUGUGUGGUGAGCGCACUGUGUUCCCCAGGCACUUGCAGCCAGUACCCAAACCUGCACCUGCAGGUUGUUGAGGAUGCUUAGCAGGUGACGUACUAGCAUUGUUUUGUUUGUUUGUUUGUUUGUUUUCUUUUUUUUAUGUUGUAUAUACUUUCACUAGUGAGCUGGUACUUCUUUCUUACACAUGACUGAGUUUGAGCUUAAGCCAGGAUGUCUACACAGCACAAAGUUACCCUCAUUCAACACAUAAAGUUAACUGCCACAUCUGGCUAUUCCCAAAGGUAAGACUGCCAUGUUGCCUUACUUCUGUUGAAGUAAAUGAUGAUUUUGUCUUAAAGGGAGAAAUUGGCUCUGUCUGGGGUCCAGCGACCAGUUCCUACUGUCAACGAAGUGGAAAAGCAACAAGUUGAUGGGGCUGAUCACAGUAUUUGACUAGCUUCCUUCCCCCUGACAGAUUUUUAUUCCUCAUUUAAUGGCUAUUCAAGUUCUCAGGAUGCAUUCUGUGGGGAGAGAUCUGCUUUACCAAUCUAUCUGUGCUUCACAUCAAGGCACCUUUCCAGAUGCGGCACAGACUCAUUUAUUGUCAUCCACGGCUGCUCCUUUGGAGAACAUCGCUGCUCAGACUAUUAUGCCAGCAUGAGGCUGGCAGGCACAGUCACUCCGAGGCAACAGGCCAGCUGUCCCACACUCUUCAGCUAAUAGUAUCCUAGAAAAGAAACGUAAGGGACAAAAUGUCUACCUGCUAUAGGGUAGUCUUAGAUUGCCCAAAAUAGCUGUGAUGAUCUUUUUUGAGACACUUACAGAAAUUUAAAUAUGGUUUGAGUGUUGGAUGAGAUAACUAUUUAUUUUAUUUGAAAAGCAUAUGUUAACUGAGAAAAACAAGAAGGAUGUAUGAGACAUUAAAAAUGGCAAUCUCGUUGAGUGGUAAGAAUACGCUGCUUGACCUGAGCAAAAACUGAGAGUAGCACUGUUAACCGACUGAGCUACCCAGGUGCCCCACCAAUUUCUUGCUUCUAGUGUAUUUUAAUGUAAUUUAUAAGAUGGAUCCACACAAGCUUUAUGGAGCAGGGCUCAGAUACCAGAUCAUUAGAAGGAGCUACAGUGUCCAUAGCCAGAUUCUUAUCUAGGGGCUCAUUUAGUAGAUUUUUGCACUGAGAAGAGAGAAAAAAACCUCUCUAGGUCUUCCUUGGGGGACGGAUGGGUUUUCAUUAUUCAGUGUGUAACUUGUACAUGACAGAUGCUGAAGAAUUUUAUAAAAGAAAAAAGGAAAGAGAACAACCUAGGGGAGAAAUAGGGGUAGCUCUCCAACCAAUCAGCACUUGGUCUUGACAUGGUGUGCUUUCAUGUUAUCUCUUCACAGAUCAGGAGUAGCUGAGUGAAUAUGUGCACAAGGAAUGCAUCUAAUUUUUGGUUGGCUGAGGAGUCCUCAGCUUCCUGUAACAACAGAAGUAUAAAUAUGUACUUGUGGAGGGGGA